This 478-nucleotide long non-coding RNA is filed under the name Solanum tuberosum (potato). Its description in RNAcentral is "long non-coding RNA (STUB_LNC005022)". The record is from RNAcentral. Lineage: Eukaryota; Viridiplantae; Streptophyta; Magnoliopsida; Solanales; Solanaceae.
UCCAGCCUAAGUUGUCCACUUGGGUUCCCGGUCUUUCAAAAGCCACUCUUAGUCAACUAGCGUAGAGCGAAACUAAAUCCCAAAUUUAGAGCAUUUUGAACUAAGUUGACCCAGCACCCAAGGCGUGUGGGCCCAUUAGAAGACUACUUUGUGUCUAAUUGACCCACGGUCAAUAUAAGACGAUCAUCCAACUAUUUGUUAAAUUUGAAGGAUAUGUAUGUCAAUUUGUGCGUACCAUUGUCCCUUGGGGUUGGAUUUUUAUUUUAUAGGUAGUUUCUUUGUUUUAGUCAAAGAGAGAUCCGUCUCAUCCAGAAAAAAUUCAAAAGUACCAAGAAGUUCGGGAAUGAAGAUUACAUAUGGAAGCUUAGUUUAGUUUACCAUUGUACCCCUGCGUGGGACUGAUAUUUAUUUCCCUAUCCUCUAAUAUGUAUCCCCAUUUAUUUUAUUCAUAAGGUUUGUAUAAACGAUUUUUAGGGCA